UCCGUAGGCGGUUUGAUAAGUCAGUGGUGAAAGCCCAUCGCUCAACGAUGGAACGGCCAUUGAUACUGUCAGACUUGAAUUAUUGGGAAGUAACUAGAAUAUGUAGUGUAGCGGUGAAAUGCUUAGAUAUUACAUGGAAUACCAAUUGCGAAGGCAGGUUACUAUCAAUAUAUUGACGCUGAUGGACGAAAGCGUGGGGAGCGAACAGGAUUAGAUACCCUGGUAGUCCACGCCGUAAACGAUGGAUACUAGCUGUUGGGCGCAAGUUCAGUGGCUAAGCGAAAGUGAUAAGUAUCCCACCUGGGGAGUACGUUCGCAAGAAUGAA
RNAcentral lists this ribosomal RNA (326 nucleotides) under uncultured bacterium. Its description in RNAcentral is "bacterial SSU rRNA". It matches the Rfam family "Bacterial small subunit ribosomal RNA", at positions 568 to 898 of the family's 1533-position model. The record is from RNAcentral.